CUACGGGUCGCAGCAGUGGGGAAUAUUGCACAAUGGGUGCAAGCCUGAUGCAGCCAUGCCGCGUGUAUGAAGAAGGCCUUCGGGUUGUAAAGUACUUUCAGCGGGGAGGAAGGGAGUAAAGUUAAUACCUUUGCUCAUUGACGUUACCCGCAGAAGAAGCACCGGCUAACUCCGUGCCAGCAGCCGCGGUAAUACGGAGGGUGCAAGCGUUAAUCGGAAUUACUGGGCGUAAAGCGCACGCAGGCGGUUUGUUAAGUCAGAUGUGAAAUCCCCGGGCUCAACCUGGGAACUGCAUCUGAUACUGGCAAGCUUGAGUCUCGUAGAGGGGGGUAGAAGUCCAGGUGUAGCGGUGAAAUGCGUAGAGAUCUGGAGGAAUACCGGUGGCGAAGGCGGCCCCCUGGACGAAGACUGACGCUCAGGUGCGAAAGCGUGGGGAGCAAACAGGAUUAGAUACCCUCGUAGUC
Molecule: ribosomal RNA, 464 nt
Filed under: uncultured bacterium
Lineage: Bacteria
Description: partial 16S ribosomal RNA
Rfam family: Bacterial small subunit ribosomal RNA
Source: RNAcentral